AUGUCAAAAUCUGUGUUGGAAAUGGUUGGAUUUCUAAAGAGAAUGAAAAGCAUGGCGAGCUGCGGAGUGCUUGGGAAAGGGCAGAGGAUCUCACUCAGACCUGUGACACCUGCAGCUGCCAAACGAAGCAUGUCGGUGUUACACCUCAGCUCAGGCCCCUGCAAGGGCGGUUUCCUUACAGCCCUGUUUCUAGGUAACCAAAUCCCUGUCACACAUAGCGUUCCACAUUGCCAGAGGACACUGACACGAGCAGCGCAGGGACGGCUGCCAUCAAUAGGGAGCAAACAGGAGCCCCGGCUGAUUUCAAUUACACUGGCAGCAAUUCAGAGGAACCCCAAUGAAUCCAGGCUGGAAGUGGAAGUGGCAUUUGGGCAUUUUAAUACAGCAUUCAAACUCACACCACAGAACUCAGCUCUCCAGUUCGACAGAAUCAAACCUCCCUCAACACAGCCCCAAAAUUUGGAAUGUGGAGUCAAAGAAGGUAAGACUACAUAUGAAGAUAAAGGAAAAGUCAUUUUGCAAAGGGAGGAAAAAGCCAAAUUACCUUCAGAGUCAAACGCUGGGAAUGUCAAAGCAUCUGGGACCAAACCCCAAUCACAAGGUUUCAUACAGACCUAA
Molecule: long non-coding RNA, 618 nt
Organism: Coturnix japonica (Japanese quail)
Lineage: Eukaryota; Metazoa; Chordata; Aves; Galliformes; Phasianidae
Source: Ensembl